GGAAAGAGAAGGUCUACAUGACAGGAGAUGUCCCUGGAUGUAAGAGGUCCUCGGAUUCCAGCUGCAGCAUGCCUCGCAAAAUUGAAGAGAUUAAGGAUUUCCUGCUGACAGCCAGGAGAAAGGAUGCCAAGUGUCUCUCCGUGAAAGAACUGAAGUAAUCCUGCUCUCUUGUACAAUAAAAACAUUAAAAAGA
This is a long non-coding RNA of Bufo gargarizans (Asiatic toad), 193 nucleotides long. RefSeq lists it as uncharacterized. NCBI's taxonomy places the organism in Eukaryota, Metazoa, Chordata, Amphibia, Anura, Bufonidae. The record is from RefSeq and is a predicted model, not a curated record. The transcript has 4 exons.